AACGAACGCUGGCGGCAUGCCUAACACAUGCAAGUCGAACGCGUGUAGCAAUACACGAGUGGCGGACGGGUGAGUAACGCGUGGGAACCUGCCCAGUGGUAGGGAAUAACUGCGGGAAACUGCAGCUAAUACCCUAUACGCCCUUUGGGGGAAAGAUUCAUCGCCAUUGGAGGGGCCCGCGUCGGAUUAGCUAGUUGGCGGGGUAACGCCCACCAAGGCAACGAUCCGUAGCUGGUCNGAGAGGAUGAUCAGCCACACUGGGACUGAGAUACGGCCCAGACUCCUACGGGAGGCAGCAGUGGGAAUAUUGGACAAUGGGGGAAACCCUGAUCCAGCAAUGCCGCGUGAGUGGAGAAGGCC
Molecule: ribosomal RNA, 360 nt
Filed under: uncultured bacterium
Lineage: Bacteria
Description: bacterial SSU rRNA
Rfam family: Bacterial small subunit ribosomal RNA
Source: RNAcentral